UAGGGAAUAUUAGAAAUGGACGAAAGUCUGAUCUAGCAACACCGCGUGUGCGAAGAAGGCCUUUGGGUUGUAAAGCACUUUUUGGAAGGAAUAGGAAGGAAUGUACUUCCAGAAUAAGUCUCGGCUAACUACGUGCCAGCAGCCGCGGUAACACGCAGGAGGCAAACGUUACCCGGAUUUACUGGGCGUAAAGCGCGUGUAGGUGGUACUGUAAGUAGGGCGUGAAAGCUCCUGGCUCAACUGGGAGAGGCCGUUCUAAACUACAGAACUAGAGGAUGGUAGAGGGAGGUGGAAUUCCAGGUGUAGCGGUGGAAUGCGCAGAUAUCUUGAGGAACACCGGUGGCGAAGGCGGCCUCCUGGACCAUUCCUGACACUCAGACGCGAAAGCUAGGGUAGCAAACGG
RNAcentral lists this ribosomal RNA (403 nucleotides) under uncultured bacterium. Its description in RNAcentral is "bacterial SSU rRNA". It matches the Rfam family "Bacterial small subunit ribosomal RNA", at positions 355 to 775 of the family's 1533-position model. The record is from RNAcentral.